CAGACCCCCAGUCUGAAAUGAAAUGACAGUAGAUAGUAACUUAAAGCUAUUUGAAGAAAUAAAGAACUCUGGUACAGUGAACCACAAAACAUCUAUUUUCCCUUUGUGAAAUCUUCAAGCUGUGUUCCAGCAAACUUGAUCCGCUUGAGUGAAAAUUGGUUAAUUUAAGGAUACUACAGACCAUGGACUUGCUGAUUUUGCUGAUUCUGUAACCUCAUGAAUACCGUCUAUUCCCCACAAGUCCUGAUACUAUGCUCUCCUUCUGUCUGGCAACAAUAAAGGGC
Molecule: long non-coding RNA, 284 nt
Organism: Zalophus californianus (California sea lion)
Lineage: Eukaryota; Metazoa; Chordata; Mammalia; Carnivora; Otariidae
Exons: 3
Source: RefSeq, a predicted model, not a curated record